This 300-nucleotide unclassified non-coding RNA is filed under the name Hevea brasiliensis (rubber tree). The record is from RNAcentral. Lineage: Eukaryota; Viridiplantae; Streptophyta; Magnoliopsida; Malpighiales; Euphorbiaceae.
AGUGGAAGGAAGUCAUUCCAACACAAUAGAUGAAGAACAAAUACAUAAAAGAAAUAUAAUUGAACCAAAAAAGAAGCUAUCCAUCACCAACUUAUCCCACGACCACUAAGUUUAAGGAUCAAAACCACCUCAAAGAAUAAGCAUGAGAUGAUGAGAAUCGAAGCAUAUUUUAAAGGUCAAAGCACCAGCUUCAAACAACAACAUAGGCUACUAGCCGUGUGGUGUUGUCAGAACAAGCCUGGUAAAAGAAGGUUUUGCUACAUGUCUACAUACCAGCAUCUCUUUCUACAUCAAAGGAUU